Molecule: long non-coding RNA, 281 nt
Filed under: Trifolium pratense (red clover)
Lineage: Eukaryota; Viridiplantae; Streptophyta; Magnoliopsida; Fabales; Fabaceae
Description: long non-coding RNA (TPRA_LNC009178)
Source: RNAcentral
GAUAUUCGUAUACCCAAAAACCCUGUUCUCCAUCUUUUUACGCGAACGAAACCUUUUCUUCUUCCCUCAAUUUCUUCUCUCCCACACCCAACCCAAAACCUAUCAAUCAAUCAAAUUUUUUUUCAAGUCUUCCAAACCCAGAACCCUCUUCUUCUCACUCAAUCGAUUUAAACCAGAAACCCUUCAUCAUUAUUCACUCACCCAGUCUCCAUCUUUCUCCUCAAUCGAUCGAACGCAAAAACCCUUACUCUUCUCUUCCAUAGUCACUCAAUCUCACUCAU